Lathyrus oleraceus (garden pea) is the source of this 1193-nucleotide long non-coding RNA. RefSeq lists it as uncharacterized. The record is from RefSeq and is a predicted model, not a curated record. NCBI's taxonomy places the organism in Eukaryota, Viridiplantae, Streptophyta, Magnoliopsida, Fabales, Fabaceae. The transcript is spliced from 4 exons.
UUAACCUAAAUCCAUACCAUAUACUCAUAAUGGGUGGCUUGUUUUUCUAAUUAUAAUUGUUGAGAGCAUUCUUCCACUAUGGAAAUAAUAUGUUGUCUUUUCGAAUAUGCGAAAAUCUAAUUUUUUGAAACCCUUUAGUAUUCCUAAUAAUGGAAUUAUAUAGAACUCUCCAACUAGUUCUAGGUUUUUCUAACCCUUUCAUGAUUUCCGCUACCGUUUUAUUGUUUGUUUAGAACUUUACCUCCAUAAAACAACAAUCGGUCGUUAUUUCCAUGGCUUUCUUUAGAGCCAUAUUUUCACCCAUUAAUGGAUCAUUAUUUCUAUUCAUGCAAAAGAAGCUCGCAACAAGUGUAUCCCUUUGUCAUCUCUAAAAAAUACUCCAAGCUCUCACUUUCAUUUAAUAGCUAGGAUAAAAUCUAUUUUACACUUUGUCCAACCUUUCACCAGAGGGUUGUUCAUAGCCACUUCCGAAGUUUUUGUUUGACCUUGCAUGUUAUUUCUAGUCAUCGAGUGGCUUUGCGUGUCAUCUUUUCACAGAUUUUGAGUGGAUUUAGGGUUGAUUUUGUUCAACGAUUGGAUUUGCAUGUAGAUUUUCUAAGGAAUCUGGAUGGAGCUAGGGUUUUCACUUAAGUUUUCUUUUUUAUCGUCGUUGAUGUGUUGGUGUUACUCCGCUCCUUGUUGCACCUGGACCACAUACUCAUAUCAUGUAUAUUGGGGUGAACCAUUCUAUAGUCUCAGUAUCAGUUCUUCUAUUCUAGAUAAAAUCGUGUACUUUUGUGUUCAGGAAAUUAGAAACGACACCUUGGUUGGCUCUGUCUAUAGCUUAUAUCACAAGUAUAGUUCUAUCUUUAAAGAUUAUGGUAUUUCUAGCAUACCAUAUAUUGUCAAUAAUGUUGAUAACAAUGGUUAUGUUAUAGUUGUCCAGCUUUAAAUUGGUUUUUCUAACCUGGUCUAUGAAAUUUUGAUAGUCAAAAUUGUCAAACUUUAUGUUGAGCUGAGACCCAAACCAUACCUGAGUAGUCAAGGUGCAAUCCUUAGAAUAGUGGUUGAUGGAUUCUAUUUUAGAUUUACAUCUAGGGCAUUAAAUAUUACACAUAAUCCAUCUAUUAGGGAGAUUGUCUCUUAUAUGUAUGAAGUUAUUAAGCAGACUCCAUAUCAAGGUUUUCUAUCUAAGAGUAGUUUGGGUUUUCCAA